CGGUCCCUACGGGGCGCAGCAGUGGGGAAUAUUGCACAAUGGGGGAAACCCUGAUGCAGCGACGCCGCGUGAAGGAAGAAGUAUUUCGGUAUGUAAACUUCUAUCAGCAGGGAAGAAAAUGACGGUACCUGACUAAGAAGCCCCGGCUAACUACGUGCCAGCAGCCGCGGUAAUACGUAGGGGGCAAGCGUUAUCCGGAUUUACUGGGUGUAAAGGGAGCGUAGGUGGUAAUGCAAGUAAGAAGUGAAAGUCAGGGGCUCAACUCCGGGACUGCUUUUGAAACUGUGUUGUUAGAUUGCAGGAGG
RNAcentral lists this ribosomal RNA (305 nucleotides) under uncultured bacterium. Its description in RNAcentral is "bacterial SSU rRNA". It matches the Rfam family "Bacterial small subunit ribosomal RNA", at positions 333 to 655 of the family's 1533-position model. The record is from RNAcentral.